GGUGAACGCUAGCGGCAGGCCUAAUACAUGCAGGUCGAACGGUAAAUAUUGUAGCAAUACGAUAUGAGAGUGACGUACGGGUGCGCAACACGUAUGCAACCUACCCAAAACUGGAGUAUAGCUCGGGGAAACCCGAAUUAACCCUUCAUAGUAUCACUGGAUGGCAUCAUUUGGUGAUUAAAACUCAGGUGGUUUUGGAUGGGCAUGCGUCUGAUUAGCUAGUUGGCGGGGUAAAGGCCCACCAAGGCGAUGAUCAGUAGGGGAACUGAGAGGUUGAUCCCCCACACUGGCACUGAGAUACGGGCCAGACUCCUACGGGAGGCAGCAGUAGGGAAUAUUGGUCAAUGGAUGCAAGUCUGAACCAGCCAUGCCGCGUGCAGGAAGAAGGCCUUCUGGGUUGUAAACUGCUUUUGCCAGAGGAUAAAAUGGGCGUGCGCGCCUAAUUGAAGGUACCUGGUGAAUAAGCCACGGCUAACUACGUGCCAGCCGCCGCGGUAA
This 498-nucleotide ribosomal RNA is filed under the name uncultured bacterium. RNAcentral describes it as "partial 16S ribosomal RNA". It matches the Rfam family "Bacterial small subunit ribosomal RNA", at positions 28 to 523 of the family's 1533-position model. The record is from RNAcentral.